Molecule: ribosomal RNA, 375 nt
Filed under: uncultured bacterium
Lineage: Bacteria
Description: bacterial SSU rRNA
Rfam family: Bacterial small subunit ribosomal RNA
Source: RNAcentral
UGGGGAAUUUUGGACAAUGGGGGCAACCCUGAUCCAGCAAUGCCGCGUGAGUGAAGAAGGCCUUCGGGUUGUAAAGCUCUUUUGUCAGGGAAGAAACGGUAGUAGCGAAUAACUAUUACUAAUGACGGUACCUGAAGAAUAAGCACCGGCUAACUACGUGCCAGCAGCCGCGGUAAUACGUAGGGUGCAAGCGUUAAUCGGAAUUACUGGGCGUAAAGCGUGCGCAGGCGGUUGUGUAAGUCAGAUGUGAAAUCCCCGGGCUCAACCUGGGAAUUGCAUUUGAGACUGCACGGCUAGAGUGUGUCAGAGGGGGGUAGAAUUCCACGUGUAGCAGUGAAAUGCGUAGAUAUGUGGAGGAAUACCGAUGGCGAAGGC